Molecule: non-coding RNA, 99 nt
Organism: Acanthosepion pharaonis
Lineage: Eukaryota; Metazoa; Mollusca; Cephalopoda; Sepiida; Sepiidae
Source: the annotation of a GenBank genome assembly
GGUAAAACACUGGUUCCCGUACGAUCACCAAAAUUAAGCAAUGUCGAGUUUGGUCAUUACCUAGAUAGGUGACCUCUUGGGAACCCCAGUUGUUGUAAU